UUCUGGCUCAGGAUGAACGCUAGCUACAGGCUUAACACAUGCAAGGUCGAGGGGCAGCAUGAUCAAGCUUGCUUGAUGAUGGCGACCGGCGCACGGGUGAGUAACGCGUAUCCAACCUUCCCUAUAGUAGAGAAUAGCCCGGUGAAAAUCGGAUUAAUGCUCUAUGUUAUUCAAUGCGGACAUCUAAGUUGAAUCAAAGGUUUACCGCUAUAGGAUGGGGAUGCGUCUGAUUAGGUUGUUGGCGGGGUAACGGCCCACCAAGCCCACGAUCAGUAGGGGUUCUGAGAGGAAGGUCCCCCACAUUGGAACUGAGACACGGUCCAAACUCCUACGGGAGGCAGCAGUGAGGAAUAUUGGUCAAUGGACGGAAGUCUGAACCAGCCAAGUAGCGUGCCAGGAUGACGGCCCUAUGGGUUGUAAACUGCUUUUAUGCGGGGAUAAAGUGCACCACGUGUGGUGUUUUGUAGGUACCGCAUGAAUAAGGACCGGCUAAUUCCGUGCCAGCCGCCGC
Molecule: ribosomal RNA, 511 nt
Filed under: uncultured bacterium
Lineage: Bacteria
Description: bacterial SSU rRNA
Rfam family: Bacterial small subunit ribosomal RNA
Source: RNAcentral